RNAcentral lists this ribosomal RNA (259 nucleotides) under uncultured bacterium. RNAcentral describes it as "partial 16S ribosomal RNA". It matches the Rfam family "Bacterial small subunit ribosomal RNA", at positions 524 to 782 of the family's 1533-position model. The record is from RNAcentral.
UACGUAGGGCGCAAGCGUUGUCCGGAAUUAUUGGGCGUAAAGGGCGCGUAGGCGGAUGGCACAGUCAGAUGUGAAAUUCCCGGGCUUAACCUGGGAAUUGCAUUUGAGACUGCGUAGCUAGGGUGCGGAAGAGGGAAGCGGAAUUUCCGGUGUAGCGGUGAAAUGCGUAGAUAUCGGAAGGAACACCAGUGGCGAAAGCGGCUUCCUGGUCCAGCACCGACGUUCAGGCACGAAAGCGUGGGGAGCAAACAGGAUUAGA